This is a long non-coding RNA of Sesamum indicum (sesame), 1311 nucleotides long. RefSeq lists it as uncharacterized. NCBI's taxonomy places the organism in Eukaryota, Viridiplantae, Streptophyta, Magnoliopsida, Lamiales, Pedaliaceae. The record is from RefSeq and is a predicted model, not a curated record.
GUUGAAAUUUGUCCUCCAAGUAUCUUUUAAUUGGCUCGUCAUCUUUGAGAGAAUCCAUUAAUCUUUUGAUUUCAGUAUUAGAUUGAUAGGAAACCCACGACGAGUAUGCUUCUAACCUUUUUGUGCUCUAAAGGUAUUCCAACUCGAUAAAUGGGAAGUUCUCGGAAAUAUUUUAUUUCAGAGUUUGGGAAACUCAUUCCAUUUUUAUGUAACUCGUCAGCUUCGUUCACAAGUAUCCAAAGAUUUGUACCGAAAUCCAUUAUCCAAUACUAUUUCCAAUAGAAUCAAUGCCCAAAAACUCACUCAACAAAAAAUUCAGUGUUUCGGUGCCUAACCACCGUAAGGGUUCUUAAAAGCUAGUAUCUCAGUCCUAGCAGAAAUCUUUUUGAGGUCGCUUAGCAUUGGUGCACUCUGAGUUAUAUGAUCUGAAGAAUCAUCUUGACCUUUAGAUAUCCCUUGAAAGCUGCCAAUCCCAAUUCCAGUUUCAUUGAGAGAAUAUUUUCUAUUUUCCUCAAGGCUUGCAAUUCUAGAGAAUUAGAAUUUUUGUCUUGAUUUGAGGAAGAUUCACAUUUCAUAAUGUGUUCUCUCACAAGAGCUGUAUCUACUUCUCGUAAGCGCCAACACCUUCAAGUCGUCCAUCAAAUCUAAAUGCUAAUACGGAUCAGAGAAUAUCAUUAAACUUUGCUUCUAAAGAAGGUGCUUCUGGAAAGAUUGAUGCUGAAUGUUCACCAACUUUCUUAGAUGAGGUAUUUGAUGAAAAUUCAACAGUUGCUGUAUUUUGCUGCUGCCUUGAAGAAAGCCAUAGAGCAGGCUCAAACUAGCUGAAUCGCUUGCUGCUGAUAUUAAGAGAUGGACCAUAGGAAAGGAGGGGAACUUGCUUGCACUUCUCUCGACCUUGCAAUAUCUUACAGGAAGGCUACUUUUUAUGUACGUCCUAACGAAGUGCAGCAAAGAGGAGUUGCCAUUCAGCAAAACACAUAUGCGACGAUAAGGUUCUCGACGUUCUAAGGCUGCAUGGAACAAGUUCAACUCAGAGGAGAGGUGGAUAAUAAUGUAAUAGCAAAAUUAUCCGGAAUGUAUUUAUUUACUUCAAUUUAUUUUUUCUGGUCUAUUUCCCUAAUAUCACCAGGUGGGAGAACUGAAAUUGUGCUAGUGAAAUGCUUAUUUUCACAUCAAGGCCAUAAUGUGUUACCAGUUGAUAUGCACAAAUGAAUUUUCUUACAACGCAAUGUAAGCAGGUUUUCCAUUUUGACUGUGCUUUUUAUGAACUUGUAGAAGUUCAGCAGCGUGAGCACCUGACCCUUCCCAAAU